AAAGUCGAAAUUAUUCCCAUUUGUAAUGACGUCAUUUUUGUUUAUCUUUGUUUAACAUAUUCCAAACAGCGGCGACAACAAAUUUUUGAAAAAAAUUGGUGUCUGAUGAUUAUUCAUCUUUUAUAUACUAGGUUAUGUAAAAUAUCCGUCACUGUCAAUCAAAAAUAUUGGUUUGUCAACUUGUUCUUGAAAGUUAUUUCGAAAAGUGUUAGAUAAUGCCUAAAAAAAGAUAUAAUAGGUAUAAUGAACAAUCGCAGCUGAUGAUUUUAAAUAUAUUGGCUUUUUUUUAACUGGAAAAGGAACAAGUCCGAAACGGAAUUGCACUUUAAAUUGAGAAUGUGAUACAGCGAGCCGCAGAUGCAACAAAAUUGAGCACAACAACGAUUGCAAAUAUAAAGAAGAAUGGGAUAAAAUCAUAUCAGGAUUACGCAGCCCGUAUAUAUUCCAAGCAAAAGACAGCCAAAACCAAAAUUACAACAUAUUAGAAACAUAGAAUUCGGGACAGAAUUUAUUCUAUGUACGCCAGAAAAGAAUAUGUAAUAUUUGCAACAAUAAGAGAAAAGUUCAGGGAAGAAAUUGAAUAUUUUGAGUUUUCCAUUGGCUUCAAGUAGAAAAAAUCAAAUAACAGAAAAUAUUUGAUGGACUUGCCAAAUAUUGUUCAUAAAAGAAUCGAUUUUUUAAGGGAGUAUAUCAAAAAUAGAUAUGUAGGUCCGGAAGGUUUUACUCCAGUUUUCAUUGACGAGACGUGGAUUUUUAGCAAGGGAUCGUUUCGUAGUAGCUGGCAAGAUGACAUCAAGCACAUGGAUUCAAGGAAAAACAGUGAAGGUCAUCGUUAUAUCGUGGUCCACGCCGGAACCAAAGAUGGCUUCAUCAAGGGUGCAAAUUUAAUAUUCAAGAGUGGAAUAAAGACGGGAGAUUAUCAUGAUAAUAUGAACAGGGAAAACUUCGAAAACUGAUUUAAAACUCAGCUGGUUCCAAAUCUUCCCCCAAAGUCAUUUAUAAUCAUGGAUAAUGCAAGUUACCAUUCUGGUUUAUUAGAAGAAAUACCGAGAAAAUCUUGGACAAAGCAGAGACUGACCGAAUGGUUGAAGAAAAAGAAUAUUGGCUUUCCAGAAAAAGCCAUGAAAGAUAAAAUAUGGAGUAUUGUACGCAGAAAUUGCCCUAGUGAAAAAAAGUACUUCCUUGAUGAAUAUGUUAAACCUUUAGGACACAAAAUUUUUCGACUGCCACCAUAGCAUUGCCGGUUUAAUGCAAUUGAAAUGGUAUGGUCGGAAUGUAAACGAAAAUAUUAUCAAUAUAUUUCCAAUUUUAAGGAGUCACCUUCAGAAGUUCUGACUACAUGGGAAAGGGUAAUAAACGAAUUUUCUAUAGAUCAUUGGCAAAAAUAUGUUUUUCAUACAGAAAAGGUAAUUGAAAAGGCUUGGGAGUCAAUACAAGUGUGUGAUGCCUAUGACAUUCUGCUACUUGUGAUUACGACUGACGAAGACGACGAUGACGAAGACAAUAUCUCGGAUUUCAGUUCUGACUCUGACAAUACUGACGAGAUUAAUUAAGCUUUUUUUGUUCUAGCAAAUUUUAUUUUAUGAUCAUCGUUUAAGUAUUCAAUCAUAUCGUUGCAAUUUCAUUAACUUGGUAAUGAAAAACACGCCAUAUCGUUGCAAUAUGGCGUGUUUUUUUUGAGUUUGUAUGUUUUAUUUUUUGGAAUGGUAUUUUCAUUUUAAUGUGUUAACAUAUUCCUUCAAGCAGCAUUUUUUUUAUGAACAAGUAAAUUAAAUUGUCAGUAUUUAAAUUUUUCCCAGUGAGUUAAAAUAAUUUUAUACCAUUAUUCACAAUUUUUGUAAGCUCGGUUUUGUUACGUCUACUGCUCGUGCCGAAUUUUACUUUUCAAAUAUGUUGUAGAUUUGGUUUUUGCGGUCUUUUGCUUGGAAAAUAUAUGAGCAGCGUAAUCCUGAUCUGAUUUUAUCCCAUUCUUCUUUAUAUUUGCGAUCGUCGUUGUGCUCAAUUUUGUUGCAUCUGCGGCUCGCUCUAUUACAUUCUCAAUUUGAAGUGCAAUUCCGUUUUCGGACUUGUUGUUUAUGUCCCAUUAUUUAUGAUUAAUUAUAAUAAUAUUUGUUAAUUGUUAAGUUUGUUAGUAAUACAAUAAAUACUACAAGAUUUUUUUAAAUUUUUAGGGAAUGAAAGUAUAUACACGAAUAUAAAAACAUAAUAAUAUGCUGCUAAAAUAAAUCAUUUGUUAAUUUCUGAACAUAUAAAAAUACAUAGCAGACUAUUAAUUUCUGAAGGCGAUGGUAAAGUUUCUAACCUAAUACUGAUUGGCAAAAAUAUCUACGUUUUUUCUCACCUGGAUGACGUAACUACAAAUGGGUAUAAUUUCGACUUUAGGAAAUGCAGGUUCUGGACGACCAAAAAUUUCAAACGAUAUUCAAGAUGUUAGUUAGUUGACUUUCUAAGAAGCAAUCCGUUUAAAACAGCAAUAAAGGCGAAACAAGACACGCAUUUUCCUGGUUUUGCUAAUACAGCUCCAGCAGGAUAAGAAAUUCGGAAAUUAAAAGUUGCUGUGCAACAAAUAAAAUAUUUUUGGCUGAAGCAUACAAACAGUGAAGAUUAGAAUUUGCCCAUCAAUAUGCACAUCAAAACAACAUAUGGGAAACGGCCUUCUAAUAUCAGAUAUAAUGAAAGAUAUACACAUAAGACUAAUCAAAGUGGACGUUUUAGUAUGAACGUUUGGACCUGGAUUAGUUUUAGAGGACCAGGCGUUUGUCAAAUAGUGCAGGGAAGGCUAAAUGCCUUAGGAUAUUGCAAUAUCCUGAACAAUGUUAUGAUCGGUUGGUGUAGUCUAUGGACAAGAUCUUCCAACAUGAUAAUGCUAAAAACAAAUUCAAGUUUUACCGUGGCCCUCGAAAAGCCCUGAUAUCAACCCAAUUGAAAACGUCUGCCACGACGUUUGCAAGCUGUAAUUGAUAACGACGGUGCGAUUAGUUAGUUUUGGUUUAUUUAUAAAAUGUGUUCCAAAUAAAAAUAAACAUCGAAAAAUAAAAAUAUUUGGUAUUAAUAUUAUUAUUUAAA
Molecule: long non-coding RNA, 3066 nt
Organism: Anthonomus grandis grandis
Lineage: Eukaryota; Metazoa; Arthropoda; Insecta; Coleoptera; Curculionidae
Exons: 3
Source: RefSeq, a predicted model, not a curated record